AGAGUUUGAUCCUGGCUCAGAAUCAACGCUGGCGGCGUGCCUAACACAUGCAAGUCGAACGCGAAGGAAGUCUUCGGACUUCUGGAGAGUGGCGCACGGGUGAGUAACACGUGGGUAAUCUGCCUUUGGGUGGGGAAUAACGAUCCGAAAGGGUCGCUAAUACCGCAUAACGCAGCGGCACCGCAUGGUGACAGUUGUUAAAGGGGGGGAUCGAAAGACCUCUCGCCUGAAGAGGAGCCCGCGUCCGAUUAGCUAGUUGGUGAGGUAACGGCUCACCAAGGCAUCGAUCGGUAGCCGGCCUGAGAGGGCGGUCGGCCACACUGGCACUGAGACACGGGCCAGACUCCAACGGGAGACAGCAGUGGGGAAUUUUGGGCAAUGGGCGAAAGCCUGACCCAGCAACGCCGCGUGAAGGAUGAAAUCCCUCUGGGAUGUAAACUUCGAAAGUCGGGAAAGAAAUCGCCAUAGAGAAUACCUGUGGUGGAUGACGGUACCCGACGUAAGCCCCGGCUAACUACGUGC
This 522-nucleotide ribosomal RNA is filed under the name uncultured Acidobacteriaceae bacterium. Its description in RNAcentral is "bacterial SSU rRNA". It matches the Rfam family "Bacterial small subunit ribosomal RNA", at positions 8 to 508 of the family's 1533-position model. The record is from RNAcentral. Lineage: Bacteria; Pseudomonadati; Acidobacteriota; Terriglobia; Terriglobales; Acidobacteriaceae.